CCCGCAUCUCCAUCGACCUAGCCGCCUCCACCCUCGUGCAUCCUCCCGCGUCAAUCGCGCCCAAACCUCCUCAUCUCGGAUCCCGUGGGACCGAGGUGCGGGCAUGGAGGCGAGCUUCCCUGGCGGCCGCGGCGACCUGCAGGCAAAGGGUGACGGCGGCGGCGGCGCUCGAUUAGAUCUGCGGGAGAGAGAGGAUGAGAGGGAGUGAUAAGGAAGAAGAUGAGAGGGAGAGAGAGAGAGAGAGAGAGGAAAGGGGAGAGGGAGGGCUUCUACGUCGCCGCUCUCUGGAUGCACGCCAUCCACCCGCGCACGCUAGCCGCCAACCUCGCCGGCUUCGCCAGGUUCGGCUGCCUCAAGGACCUCCCCGAGAUCCUCUAUCGUUUCCUCCACGGCCCCCGCGAUGAGCGCAAGGACUAGGACAACGUCGCCGCGGCGGCCCCGGGGGCAAGAGCGGCAAGCGGCGCUGCGUCGGCGGCCUUGCCGCCGCCGCGGCUGAGGCCUCCAAGGCCCGGCGCGAGAAGGAGGCGGAGCACGCGCAGGCCGUGCUCGCGCGCUACGACUCUGACGAGGCCUUCCGCAACCUCUACGACGGCGUCGCCGACCUCUUCGCCGGGCUGCUCAAGUCGGACCAGGAGCACCUGCACGCGGGCGACACGGCCAAGAUCGUGUUCGCCGCCAAGUGGUGCCCGUCGCCGCGCUCGUCGUACGACCGCGCGACGCUGCUCUGCGAGGCCAUCGCGCGCCGGGUCUUCCCGCGCGACUCGAGCCCCGAGUACCUCGCUAUCCCCGACAAGCACUACGCCUACCGCGUCCGCAACCGGCUCCGCCGCGAGGUGCAGGUGCCGCUCCGCAAGGUGCUCGAGCUCCCCGAGGUCUACAUGAGCGCCGGCAAGUGGGACGAGCUGCCCUGCGCGCGCGCUUGGCGUCCACGGCCAUGCGCCAGUACAAGAGGCGUCCUGGCUGUGCUUCUUUCUUCUGGUCCAUGGACAUUGUCAUAAUGGUCACCUUAUCGCAGUGUAUUAUUUUUGGAUCUCAUAUUCCUCAAGGCGCGCCAUCCUCUGAUUCGAUGUCGGCCGAUCUGAGAAAUAAGAGGAGGAAUAAUCCAGCAGAAGAAUUUGGUGAAGAAGAACAAGAAAAGAAUACCUUUAUCCUGAUAGGCAUGGAAACACCGGUUCGCAUUGAGUGCAUCAUCGCUAAUCAGCUACUAUGUAUGGUCAGCGGACAUGCUUGCUUAUUCCUGUAACAUAUCAUUACUCUAUCUGCUUAGCCUUUCUAACUUUUAAGAUUUGAUCAAUUCUUUAGAAGUUCGUACAGAUCUAGAAGUAUUUGGUUUUGUUGGUCAAAUCCAUUACCUGUAUGUCCUUAUUUAUUUUAUUGUUCGAACAAGAUAUCAGAUCACCUACAUUCAUUAUUCUUGAUUACAGUCUCAUACUAAAGUAGUCUAAAAUGGUCUGAAUAGUUGUAGUAAUUCAUAAAUAUUUUCAGUGUAGUUCUUAUUUGGUUUCUAGGCAUAGAAUUUACUUCAAAAUUUUGAUCUUUAUUUGGUUAGUAAGGCUCUAGAAUAAAACAGACCAAUGAUAUAUAUACAAACAGACACAAUAGGAGUUAACUGGUACCUAGCUUUUGAAACCUCUGAUAUAUACAAAAUAUUAUUUGAGUAGAACAGGAGAGAUGCAAUCUUAUGGAUAUUUCCGCAUUUGUAAGAAACUUUCCAGCUUGGCAAGAGGGCUUGACUAGCCAUGUGUAGGACUCAGCCAUGCUGCCUUCCAAAUGAUUAGUCAUUGGUGUUUUCUUAUGUUCGUGUUAGCCCAAGUGCAUCAGAUAAGUAGACUGUUAUGUUGAAAAAAGGAAAGAGACUACUCUUUUGUUACUUACAGUACAGAUAUAUGCUAUAACAUAUUACCUUUAUGCUCUCGAUUUCAGUAUACGCCUGCGAACAAGUAAGUCAGUAAUAUCAAUGCCUAAGAAUUACUUUGUUUGCCAUGCUAAUCAUUACAUCAGAGAGCAAUGGAUAUAGAAGAAAUAUGUAAACAGUUGUCCCUAGAAGAAAUAUGCAACAACUUAUUCAGGUUACUUAAUUAAUAACGCAUCUAUAUCAUUACAUACACAUACUGAAUGUGCCUUUUGAGAGUGAGCUUCUGUCAGUACCUCACACUUAUCUUAUAUGCCAUUCCAACUAUCUGUUGCAGUAGAGAGCAAGGGACAUAUAAGAAAUCUCCAGGCAGCUUCACUUAGAUGCAUCAUCUUCUGCUAGGAGUCAGCUUGAAGAACGACCUUCUCAGGUUAAUUCUUGGGAGACUGCAACUGACAUGCUGGAUGGGGAAUAACCAAAUUUGUGGACAAAGACAAAGAGUUCAUCGCAAGGGGUGGUGUUUAGGAUAUAUACACAAAAGAGGAAACUUUUUUUGUACAGAACCAAAUUAUAUGAUGUAUUUGACCACUAUUUCUAAGAAAUGUUCAUCAUGUAUUCAGUACAUUUUAUUGUGUCACUUUUUUGAGGGGUAGCUUUAUUCAUCAAACAUCACAAAGUGUGCGAUAGAGUUCAUCAAACCAGGCUUUAUUGUGUCACCUAUGUUUACCU
This 2581-nucleotide ribosomal RNA is filed under the name Triticum aestivum (bread wheat). RNAcentral describes it as "partial small subunit ribosomal RNA". Lineage: Eukaryota; Viridiplantae; Streptophyta; Magnoliopsida; Poales; Poaceae. The record is from RNAcentral.